GACGGAGGCCCCGAGCGUUGUUCGGAAUCAUUGGGCUUAAAGCGCGUGUAGGCGGGCCGGUAAGUGCUUUGUGAAAUCCCCGGGCUCAACCCGGGAAUUGCUUGGCAUACUGUCGGUCUUGAGGCAGGUAUGGGUCACUGGAACCUUAGGUGUAGCGGUGAAAUGCGUAGAUAUCUAAGGGAACGCCGGUGGCGAAAGCGGGUGACUGGGCCUGUCCUGACGCUGAGACGCGAAAGCGUAGGGAGCAAACGGGAUUAGAUACC
Molecule: ribosomal RNA, 263 nt
Filed under: uncultured bacterium
Lineage: Bacteria
Description: partial 16S ribosomal RNA
Rfam family: Bacterial small subunit ribosomal RNA
Source: RNAcentral